CGUGAGGCAUGCUGGAGGUAUCAGAAGUGCGAAUGCUGACAUAAGUAACGAUAAAGCGGGUGAAAAGCCCGCUCGCCGGAAGACCAAGGGUUCCUGUCCAACGUUAAUCGGGGCAGGGUGAGUCGACCCCUAAGGCGAGGCCGAAAGGCGUAGUCGAUGGGAAACGGGUUAAUAUUCCCGUACUUGGUGUUACUGCGAAGGGGGGACGGAGAAGGCUAUGUUGGCCGGGCGACGGUUGUCCCGGUUUAAGUGUGUAGGUGUGUGUUCCAGGUAAAUCCGGUUCACUUUAACACUGAGGCGUGACGACGAGGCACUACGGUGCUGAAGCAACAAAUGCCCUGCUUCCAGGAAAAGCCUCUAAGCAUCAGGUAACAUCAAAUCGUACCCCAAACCGACACAGGUGGUCAGGUAGAGAAUACCAAGGCGCUUGAGAGAACUCGGGUGAAGGAACUAGGCAAAAUGGUGCCGUAACUUCGGGAGAAGGCACGCUGACACGUAGGUGAAGUGAUUUACUCAUGGAGCUGAAGUCAGUCGAAGAUACCAGCUGGCUGCAACUGUUUAUUAAAAACACAGCACUGUGCAAACACGAAAGUGGACGUAUACGGUGUGACGCCUGCCCGGUGCCGGAAGGUUAAUUGAUGGGGUCAGCGCAAGCGAAGCUCCUGAUCGAAGCCCCGGUAAACGGCGGCCGUAACUAUAACGGUCCUAAGGUAGCGAAAUUCCUUGUCGGGUAAGUUCCGACCUGCACGAAUGGCGUAAUGAUGGCCAGGCUGUCUCCACCCGAGACUCAGUGAAAUUGAACUCGCUGUGAAGAUGCAGUGUACCCGCGGCAAGACGGAAAGACCCCGUGAACCUUUACUAUAGCUUGACACUGAACAUUGAGCCUUGAUGUGUAGGAUAGGUGGGAGGCUUUGAAGUGUGGACGCCAGUCUGCAUGGAGCCGACCUUGAAAUACCACCCUUUAAUGUUUGAUGUUCUAACGUGGACCCGUUACCCGGGUUGCGGACAGUGUCUGGUGGGUAGUUUGACUGGGGCGGUCUCCUCCUAAAGAGUAACGGAGGAGCACGAAGGUUGGCUAAUCCUGGUCGGACAUCAGGAGGUUAGUGCAAUGGCAUAAGCCAGCUUGACUGCGAGCGUGACGGCGCGAGCAGGUGCGAAAGCAGGUCAUAGUGAUCCGGUGGUUCUGAAUGGAAGGGCCAUCGCUCAACGGAUAAAAGGUACUCCGGGGAUAACAGGCUGAUACCGCCCAAGAGUUCAUAUCGACGGCGGUGUUUGGCACCUCGAUGUCGGCUCAUCACAUCCUGGGGCUGAAGUAGGUCCCAAGGGUAUGGCUGUUCGCCAUUUAAAGUGGUACGCGAGCUGGGUUUAGAACGUCGUGAGACAGUUCGGUCCCUAUCUGCCGUGGGCGCUGGAGAACUGAGGGGGGCUGCUCCUAGUACGAGAGGACCGGAGUGGACGCAUCACUGGUGUUCGGGUUGUCAUGCCAAUGGCACUGCCCGGUAGCUAAAUGCGGAAGAGAUAAGUGCUGAAAGCAUCUAAGCACGAAACUUGCCCCGA
Molecule: ribosomal RNA, 1557 nt
Filed under: Salmonella enterica
Lineage: Bacteria; Pseudomonadati; Pseudomonadota; Gammaproteobacteria; Enterobacterales; Enterobacteriaceae
Also listed under: 1 other name
Description: partial 23S ribosomal RNA
Rfam family: Bacterial large subunit ribosomal RNA
Source: RNAcentral